Molecule: ribosomal RNA, 319 nt
Filed under: uncultured eukaryote
Lineage: Eukaryota
Description: partial 18S ribosomal RNA
Rfam family: Eukaryotic small subunit ribosomal RNA
Source: RNAcentral
CCCCUAGAUGUUCUGGGCCGCACGCGCGCUACACUGAACAGUUCAACAAGUCUUAACCUUGGCCGAUAGGUCUGGGUAAUCUUUGAACGCUGUUCGUGAUUGGGAUAGACCUUUGCAAUUAUGGGUCUUCAACGAGGAAUUCCUAGUAACGCAAGUCAUCAGCUUGCAUUGAUUACGUCCCUGCCCUUUGUACACACCGCCCGCCGCACCUACCGAUUGAAUGGUCCGGUGAAAUCUCGGGACGGCGGCUUGGUCGCUUGCGUCCGACUGCUGAAACUUGAUUAAACCAUAUCAUUUAGAGGAAGGUGAAGUCGUAACA